UGGGGAAUAUUGCGCAAUGGGGGAAACCCUGACGCAGCAACGCCGCGUGAAGGAUGACGGUUUUCGGAUUGUAAACUUCAGCAAGCAGGGAAGAUAAUGACGGUACCUGAACAAAAGCCACGGCUAACUACGUGCCAGCAGCCGCGGUAAUACGUAGGUGGCAAGCGUUGUCCGGAUUUACUGGGUGUAAAGGGCGUGUAGACGGGUGUUUAAGUCAGACGUGAAAUACCGAAGCUCAACUUCGGGGCUGCGUUUGAAACUGGACAUCUUGAGUGCAGGAGAGGAAAGCGGAAUUCCUAGUGUAGCGGUGAAAUGCGUAGAUAUUAGGAGGAACACCAGUGGCGAAGGCGGCUUUCUGGACUGUAACUGACGUUGAGGCGCGAAAGUGUGGGGAGCAAACA
This is a ribosomal RNA of 401 nucleotides. It matches the Rfam family "Bacterial small subunit ribosomal RNA", at positions 355 to 774 of the family's 1533-position model.